UGAGAUAAGAGAUUUGUGACUCUUGAGUG
Molecule: non-coding RNA, 29 nt
Filed under: Mus musculus (house mouse)
Lineage: Eukaryota; Metazoa; Chordata; Mammalia; Rodentia; Muridae
Source: RNAcentral